AGUUAAAAAGCCAACGAUACGCCUGAUGUCUUGAAAACAUCAUGAAAGAAGUUCAAGUCUUCUAUUAACUU
This 71-nucleotide transfer RNA is filed under the name Microtermes sp. A TB-2017. RNAcentral's name for it is "tRNA-Ser". Lineage: Eukaryota; Metazoa; Arthropoda; Insecta; Blattodea; Termitidae. The record is from RNAcentral.